Molecule: non-coding RNA, 1091 nt
Organism: Danio rerio (zebrafish)
Lineage: Eukaryota; Metazoa; Chordata; Actinopteri; Cypriniformes; Danionidae
Source: RefSeq, a predicted model, not a curated record
GAACCGGUUGGCGGACGACGGCGAGAGACUGAAGCAGGUUUUUAACCCCUUGAGAGACUGACUGGCAGUGAACGCGGCCACACAGACGCAGGAGUUUCGCCGGUGGGGGGAAGGGCCGAUGCAUUCCAAAACACAAGUCUUUCAGAGAUGAGGAGGAAGUGUCCGCUCUUUGUUGCUCGCUAAAUAACAGCCACCACAGUGGGCUCGACUGCUAAGGUAGUCAAUAAACUGAACGACUUGACAACAGGAACACUUCUGAUUUGAAUAAGCGUAUAUAUGGGAACUGAGAAGUUUGAUCAGAAGACAAAUGCCAACAGGAAAUGAACAAAUGGUGACGCUUGAAGGCUUGAGACGCGAAGCACAGACGCUUGGAGGUAACUCUGGAGUGAAAAUGGAAAAGGAGGAUGCUUGUGUUGCAAGUUUUCAACAAUACAGCAUGAUCCGAUUUGGAGAAACCAAAGAAAAAUCAUAACCAACAUUGUUUCUUGAAAAUUUGACUUCGGCCCUCAGUGUAUCAUCAACAAAAGCCACCGGUAUUAAUUUAGUUUCACUUGUAUAUGUUUUUAUGGUUCUCAAAAUCUCAGUAGCUGGGAAAAAGAGUAAACAAAGAGUUGUGUUCGCACUUGAAGUUCAGUUCUCUUGGUUCUUCUGAUGGUUCUCUGGGGGAAUCAUCAGACACUUUGUUAGGGCCCAAACUACUGUAAAUCAAGGAUUUGAAAAAUUACUGAAUGACAAUUUUAACCCAGAGCGACAAUACAUAGGGAGAAUGCUUGUGUUUAAUUGUUCAACAAUACAAUACUUGUGCUUAUCCUGUGUAAAGAAACCUUGGGAAAUCGUAAACAAACAUUAGCUAGGUUUUCAUCCUAAAAAGCUAAUUUGCCUAAAACUGGAUUAUCGCAUAAAAGCUGUGCGAAUAAAGCAGCGUUUCCAUACAAUGAACCAAAGCGAGCAAAAUCGUCACUUCCUGAUUAACUGGUGCCAAAUACCAAAAGUAAAAACUUAAUUUGGUGCGAUAAGAGAAACUGGGUGAAUCUUUUCUUUAUUUAAUAAAUGACUUGUGCCUCAGAAGGCAAUCCUGACACGCAGUGAAC